Long non-coding RNA from Lolium rigidum, 320 nucleotides. RefSeq lists it as uncharacterized. The transcript is spliced from 2 exons. NCBI's taxonomy places the organism in Eukaryota, Viridiplantae, Streptophyta, Magnoliopsida, Poales, Poaceae. The record is from RefSeq and is a predicted model, not a curated record.
GAACCAAGAUGACAUCAGAAACCAAAAGGAGGAAGAAGUCAACCCAGGCCAUUCCUCCAUUGAAUGAAGGCUAUCUAUUGCACCUUGAUGAAGGCUAUUUAUUUUCAAAUGUUUAAUGUUCAUAGUCCAAUGGCCAGUAUAAAUCGAAGUGAGCUACAAUUCUAUACACGAACUUAAAUUGGGCAUUAGACAUCGUGGUAAGAUUAUUUUUCUCUUUUGGUCUGACGGGAGUACGUGUAAAGUUCAACUAAAUGGUUAAACUUCUAUGAAAGAACUUAUAAGCUAAUACCAUUUUAAUAGUUGUCUUUCAACUAUUUGUA